AUCCUGCCAGUAGUCAUAUGCUUGUCUCAAAGAUUAAGCCAUGCAUGUCUAAGUUCACACUGUUUGAAGGUGAAACCGCGAAUGGCUCAUUAAAUCAGUCGAGGUUCCUUAGAUGACACGAUCCUACUUGGAUAACUGUGGCAAUUCUAGAGCUAAUACAUGCAACUGAAGCUCCGACCUGUAAAGGGAAGAGCGCUUUUAUUAGUUCAAAACCAAUGGUCGUCGGCUUCGGUCGGCGGCGUAACCUUUGGUGACUCUGGAUAACUUUGUGCUGAUCGCAGGGCCUUUGUGCCGGCGACGCAUCUUUCAAAUGUCUGCCCUAUCAAAUGUCGAUGGUACGUGAUAUGCCUACCAUGUUUGUAACGGGUAACGGGGAAUCAGGGUUCGAUUCCGGAGAGGGAGCAUGAGAAACGGCUACCACAUCCAAGGAAGGCAGCAGGCGCGCAACUUACCCACUCCCGGCACGGGGAGGUAGUGACGAAAAAUAACAAUACGGGACUCUUUUCGAGGCCCCGUAAUUGGAAUGAGUACACUUUAAAACCUUUAACGAGGAUCUAUUGGAGGGCAAGUCUGGUGCCAGCAGCCGCGGUAAUUCCAGCUCCAAUAGCGUAUAUUAAAGUUGUUGCAGUUAAAAAGCUCGUAGUUGGAUCUCAGGUGCAGGCGAGCGGUCCGGCUCGCGCCGGUUCACUGCUCGUAUCUCCUGCCCUACCGUCUGUCGGCUCUCUCCCGUGGGUGCUCUUUACUGAGCGUCCCGGGUGGCCGGCGCGUUUACUUUGAAAAAAUUAGAGUGUUCAAAGCAGGCCUCGCCGCCUGAAUAAUGGUGCAUGGAAUAAUGGAAUAGGAUCUCGGUUCUAUUUUGUUGGUUUUCGGAACUGGAGGUAAUGAUUAACAGGGACAAACGGGGGCAUUCGUAUUGCGGCGUUAGAGGUGAAAUUCUUGGAUCGCCGCAAGACGAGCUACUGCGAAAGCAUUUGUCAAGAAUGUUUUCAUUAGUCAAGAACGAAAGUCAGAGGUUCGAAG
This 1020-nucleotide ribosomal RNA is filed under the name Runcina africana. RNAcentral's name for it is "SSU rRNA". It matches the Rfam family "Eukaryotic small subunit ribosomal RNA", at positions 11 to 1003 of the family's 1831-position model. Lineage: Eukaryota; Metazoa; Mollusca; Gastropoda; Runcinacea; Runcinidae. The record is from RNAcentral.